AUUCCUACGGGAGGCAGCAGUGGGGAAUUUUGGACAAUGGGGGCAACCCUGAUCCAGCCAUGCCGCGUGAGUGAAGAAGGCCUUCGGGUUGUAAAGCUCUUUCGGCCGGAACGAAAUCGCGUACGUGAAUAACGUGCGUGGAUGACGGUACUGGAAGAAGAAGCACCGGCUAACUACGUGCCAGCAGCCGCGGUAAUACGUAGGGUGCGAGCGUUAAUCGGAAUUACUGGGCGUAAAGCGUGCGCAGGCGGUUCUGCAUGUCAGAUGUGAAAUCCCCGGGCUUAACCUGGGAACUGCGUUUGAAACUACGGAGCUGGAGUACGGCAGAGGGGGGUGGAAUUCCACGUGUAGCAGUGAAAUGCGUAGAUAUGUGGAGGAACACCGACGGCGAAGGCAGCCCCCUGGGCCGAUACUGACGCUCAGGCACGAAAGCGUGGGGAGCAAACAGGAUUAGAUACCCUGGUAGUCCACGCCCUAAACUAUGUCAACUAGUUGUCGGGAAAGCAAUUUCUUGGUAACGAAGCUAACGCGUGAAGUUGACCGCCUGGGGAGUACGGUCGCAAGAUUAAAACUCAAAUGAAUUGACGG
This 588-nucleotide ribosomal RNA is filed under the name uncultured Rhodocyclaceae bacterium. RNAcentral describes it as "bacterial SSU rRNA". It matches the Rfam family "Bacterial small subunit ribosomal RNA", at positions 335 to 916 of the family's 1533-position model. Lineage: Bacteria; Pseudomonadati; Pseudomonadota; Betaproteobacteria; Rhodocyclales; Rhodocyclaceae. The record is from RNAcentral.